AUAGGUAUGCUUAGGGAGGAGCUUGCGUCACAUUAGUUAGUUGGUGGGGUAAAGGCCUACCAAGACUAUGAUGUGUAGCCGGGCUGAGAGGUUGAACGGCCACAUUGGGACUGAGACACGGCCCAAACUCCUACGGGAGGCAGCAGUAGGGAAUUUUCGGCAAUGGAGGAAACUCUGACCGAGCAACGCCGCGUGAACGAUGAAGUAUUUCGGUACGUAAAGUUCUUUUAUUAGGGAAGAAUAAAUGAUGGAAAAAUCAUUCUGACGGUACCUAAUGAAUAAGCCCCGGCUAACUAUGUGCCAGCAGCCGCGGUAAUACAUAGGGGGCAAGCGUUAUCCGGAAUUAUUGGGCGUAAAGGGUGCGUAGGCGGUUAAAUAAGUUUAUGGUCUAAGUGCAAUGCUCAACAUUGUGAUGCUAUAAAAACUGUUUAGCUAGAGUAAGAUAGAGGCAAGUGGAAUUCCAUGUGUAGUGGUAAAAUGCGUAAAUAUAUGGAGGAACACCAGUAGCGAAGGCGGCUUGCUGGGUCUUUACUGACGCUGAGGCACGAAAGCGUGGGGAGCAAACAGGAUUAGAUACCCUGGUAGUCCACGCCGUAAACGAUGAGUACUAAACGUUGGGUAAAACCAGUGUUGAAGUUAACACAUUAAGUACUCCGCCUGAGUAGUACGUACGCAAGUAUGAAACUUAAAGGAAUUGACGGGACUCCGCACAAGCGGUGGAUCAUGUUGUUUAAUUCGAAGGUACCCGAAAAACCUCACCAGGUCUUGACAUGCUUCUGCAAAGCUGUAGAAACACAGUGGAGGUUAUCAGUUGCACAGGUGGUGCAUGGUUGUCGUCAGCUCGUGUCGUGAGAUGUUGGGUUAAGUCCCGCAACGAGCGCAACCCUUAUUGUUAGUUACCAGCACGUAAUGGUGGGGACUUUAGCAAGACUGCCAGUGAUAAAUUGGAGGAAGGUGGGGACGACGUCAAAUCAUCAUGCCCCUUAUGACCUGGGCUACAAACGUGAUACAAUGGCUGUUACAAAGGGUAGCUGAAGCGCAAGUUUUUGGCGAAUCUCAAAAACAGU
This 1067-nucleotide ribosomal RNA is filed under the name 'Prunus cerasus' phytoplasma. RNAcentral describes it as "bacterial SSU rRNA". It matches the Rfam family "Bacterial small subunit ribosomal RNA", at positions 209 to 1286 of the family's 1533-position model. Lineage: Bacteria; Bacillati; Mycoplasmatota; Mollicutes; Acholeplasmatales; Acholeplasmataceae. The record is from RNAcentral.